UAUUAUUAAUUAUUAAAAUAAAUAUUCUAGAGAAGUAGGUAUAAAUACUUAAAUUUAAAAAAUUUGGCGGUAUUUUAUAAAAUUAGAGGAUUUUGUUCUGUAAUAGACAAUACACGAUAUAUUUUACUUAAUUUAAUCAAUUUAUCUAUUGUUAUCAUAAUAUAAUUUUUAAAAAAAUUUAAGAAAAUUAAUAUAAAAUAAAAAAUGUUAAACCAAAAUAUAGUAAAAAAUUAAGAUUGAAAUGAAAUAUAAUAAAUUUAUUUAUAUGAAAUUUAUUUUUUAAAAAAUGAAGGAAGGUGGAUUUAACAGUAAAUCAUUAUAUAUUUAAUGUUUGAAUUAACUAUUUAAUACGUACAUAUUGCCCGUCGCUUUUAAGUUUUGUUAAAAUAA
RNAcentral lists this ribosomal RNA (390 nucleotides) under Claspettomyia sp. JSC57. RNAcentral's name for it is "partial 12S ribosomal RNA". Lineage: Eukaryota; Metazoa; Arthropoda; Insecta; Diptera; Cecidomyiidae. The record is from RNAcentral.